RNAcentral lists this long non-coding RNA (242 nucleotides) under Monodelphis domestica (gray short-tailed opossum). RNAcentral describes it as "lncRNA (ENSMODG00000045033.1)". Lineage: Eukaryota; Metazoa; Chordata; Mammalia; Didelphimorphia; Didelphidae. The record is from RNAcentral.
AAUAGAAACAUAAGAAAGAAAGAGACAAUACAAAGCAGCAGCUCACAGGCUGUAGUUUGAAGGGCCCCAGAAAGGACUUGCCAAAUAUCUCUGCACUUCUAUUUCUGCCUGAAUUUGUACCAGUAGGAGUUCAUUCCAUGAUUUCGGUGGAGUGCCCUACAUCAUUAGUACAAGGAUCUGAAAGAUUAAAUCUGAUCAGUACAACUGGUGGUUUAUGUUCCAAAAAUGGUCAUUUUGCUUGA